RNAcentral lists this ribosomal RNA (465 nucleotides) under Vreelandella stevensii. Its description in RNAcentral is "partial 16S ribosomal RNA". It matches the Rfam family "Bacterial small subunit ribosomal RNA", at positions 338 to 795 of the family's 1533-position model. The record is from RNAcentral. Lineage: Bacteria; Pseudomonadati; Pseudomonadota; Gammaproteobacteria; Oceanospirillales; Halomonadaceae.
CCUACGUGUGGCAGCAGUGGGGAAUAUUGGACAAUGGGCGAAAGCCUGAUCCAGCCAUGCCGCGUGUGUGAAGAAGGCCUUCGGGGUGUAAAGCACUUUCAGUGGGGAAGAAAGCCUUGGGGCUAAUACCCUCGAGGAAGGACAUCACCCACAGAAGAAGCACCGGCUAACUCCGUGCCAGCAGCCGCGGUAAUACGGAGGGUGCGAGCGUUAAUCGGAAUUACUGGGCGUAAAGCGCGCGUAGGCGGUCUGAUAAGCCGGUUGUGAAAGCCCCGGGCUCAACAUGGGAACGGCAUCCGGAACUGUCAGGCUAGAGUGCAGGAGAGGAAGGUAGAAUUCCCGGUGUAGCGGUGAAAUGCGUAGAGAUCGGGAGGAAUACCAGUGGCGAAGGCGGCCUUCUGGACUGACACUGACGCUGAGGUGCGAAAGCGUGGGUAGCAAACAGGAUUAGAUACCCGAGUAGUC